RNAcentral lists this ribosomal RNA (404 nucleotides) under bacterium. RNAcentral describes it as "partial 16S ribosomal RNA". It matches the Rfam family "Bacterial small subunit ribosomal RNA", at positions 355 to 777 of the family's 1533-position model. The record is from RNAcentral.
UGGGGAAUAUUGCACAAUGGGGGAAACCCUGAUGCAGCGACGCCGCGUGAACGAAGAAGGUAUUCGUAUCGUAAAGUUCUGUCCUAUGGGAAGAUAAUGACAGUACCAUAGAAGAAAGCUCCGGCUAAAUACGUGCCAGCAGCCGCGGUAAUACGUAUGGAGCGAGCGUUGUCCGGAAUUAUUGGGCGUAAAGGGUACGCAGGCGGUUUAAUAAGUCGAAUGUUAAAGAUCGGGGCUCAACCCCGCAAAGCAUUGGAAACUGAUAAACUUGAGGAGUGGAGAGGAAAGUGGAAUUCCUAGUGUAGUGGUGAAAUACGUAGAUAUUAGGAGGAAUACCAGUAGCGAAGGCGACUUUCUGGACACAAACUGACGCUGAGGUACGAAAGCGUGGGGAGCAAACAGGA